GAUGAACGCUAGCGGCAGGCUUAAUACAUGCAAGUCGUGGGGCAGCAGGACUGUAGCAAUACCGUUGCUGGCGACCGGCAAACGGGUUCGGCACACGUACGCAACUUACCCUGAACUGGGGGAUAGCCCGGGGAAACCCGGAUUAAUACCCCGUAAUAUAAUGGUGUGGCAUCACUUUAUUAUUAAAGCUACGGCGGUUCGGGAUGGGCGUGCGGCUGUUUAGGUCGUUGGUUGAGGUAACGGCUAACCAGGCCCACGAUCAGUAACUGGUGUGAGAGAACGACCAUUCACAGAGAGACUGAGACACGGGCCCGACACCGACGGGAGGCGGCAGUAAGGAAGGGGGGGAAAUGGAGGGAACACUGACCCAGCCAUGCCGCGUGGAGGAUGAAGGCCCUCUGGGGUGAAAACUUCUUUUAUAGGGGACGAAACCUGUGUAUGCUAACGCAGUGAACGGUACCCUAGGAAGAAGCACGGGCGAACUCCGU
RNAcentral lists this ribosomal RNA (488 nucleotides) under uncultured bacterium. RNAcentral describes it as "partial 16S ribosomal RNA". It matches the Rfam family "Bacterial small subunit ribosomal RNA", at positions 28 to 506 of the family's 1533-position model. The record is from RNAcentral.